RNAcentral lists this non-coding RNA (313 nucleotides) under Pongo abelii (Sumatran orangutan). Lineage: Eukaryota; Metazoa; Chordata; Mammalia; Primates; Hominidae. The record is from RNAcentral.
AAAUGCAGGAUUCUCUUUCUCAGGGCAGCGUCUAAACAGAGCAUCCUUAUUUGGGUCAGCACAAAUGGAAGAUGAACUGAACCACACACUGACUUCUAGGCUGCUGGUGUUACAUUUCUAAAGCACAGGCCUCCCUCUUACAUUCCUCUGCCAGCCUUCCUAUUGCAUAUGAGACACACCCCUAAGUUCACAUGGAGAUAACCAAGGCCCUUUGCCAUCUGGACAGCACCCGGUGGCUCCCACCUGGCCACUGUGCUUAGCGAUCGUGGCUUCGCCACAGCCUCUGAACAUUUGCAGAGCUCUGCCCUCGCUC